This 457-nucleotide ribosomal RNA is filed under the name uncultured bacterium. Its description in RNAcentral is "bacterial SSU rRNA". It matches the Rfam family "Bacterial small subunit ribosomal RNA", at positions 29 to 521 of the family's 1533-position model. The record is from RNAcentral.
AACGAACGCUGGCGGCAUGCCUAACACAUGCAAGUCGAACGAGGUUUCCGCUUCGGCGGGACCCUAGUGGCGCACGGGUGAGUAACGCGUGGGAACCUGCCCUGUGGUACGGAAUAACUCCGGGAAACUGGAGCUAAUACCGUAUGUGUCCUGCGGGACAAAGAUUUAUCGCCACGGGAUGGGCCCGCGUAGGAUUAGCUUGUUGGUGGGGUAACGGCUCACCAAGGCGACGAUCCUUAGCNGGUCUGAGAGGAUGAUCAGCCACACUGGGACUGAGACACGGCCCAGACUCCUACGGGAGGCAGCAGUGGGGAAUAUUGGACAAUGGGCGCAAGCCUGAUCCAGCAAUGCCGCGUGAGUGAGGAAGGCCUUAGGGUUGUAAAGCUCUUUCACCCGCGACGAUGAUGACGGUAGCGGGAGAAGAAGCCCCGGCUAACUUCGUGCCAGCCGCCGCGGU